UACGGAGGAUGCAAGCGUUAUCCGGAUUUAUUGGGUUUAAAGGGUGCGCAGGUUGUUUGAUAAGUCAGUGGUGAAAGUCUGUCGCUUAACGGUAGGAUUGCCAUUGAUACUGUUAGACUUGAAUAUGGAUGAGGUAGGCGGAAUGUGUAGUGUAGCGGUGAAAUGCGUAGAUAUUAGGAGGAACACCAGUGGCGAAGGCGGGUAACUGGACUGCAACUGACGCUGAGGCGCGAAAGUGUGGGGAGCAAACAGGAUUAGAUA
RNAcentral lists this ribosomal RNA (261 nucleotides) under uncultured prokaryote. Its description in RNAcentral is "partial 16S ribosomal RNA". It matches the Rfam family "Bacterial small subunit ribosomal RNA", at positions 524 to 784 of the family's 1533-position model. The record is from RNAcentral.